This is an unclassified non-coding RNA of Myotis lucifugus (little brown bat), 328 nucleotides long. Its record names the gene 7SK. It matches the Rfam family "7SK RNA". From Rfam's summary of the family: 7SK was discovered as an abundant small nuclear RNA in the mid-70s but a possible function has only recently been suggested. Two independent studies have found that 7SK RNA binds the CDK9/cyclin T complex (known as elongation factor P-TEFb). NCBI's taxonomy places the organism in Eukaryota, Metazoa, Chordata, Mammalia, Chiroptera, Vespertilionidae. The record is from Ensembl.
GGAUGUGAGGGCGAUCUGGCUGCGACAUCUGUCACCCCAUUGAUCGCCAGGGUUGAUUCGGCUGAUCUGGCUGGCUAGGCGGGUGCCCCCCUCCUCCCUCACCGAUCCAUGUGCAUCCCUCCUGAAGCUGUGCGCUCGGUCGAAGAGGACGACCUUCCCGCCAGGAGAGGACCAGUCUUGGGUCAAGGGUAUACGAGUAGCUGCGCUCCCCUGCUAGAACCUCCAAACAAGCUCUCAAGAAUGAACAUGAUGCUUCAUUGAGCCCUGGGAGUAUUUUCUCUCUAACAAAUCCCAGUCACCACUUUAAACUAUAAACAUCAGUAUCUGU